RNAcentral lists this long non-coding RNA (1242 nucleotides) under Homo sapiens (human). Its description in RNAcentral is "HSALNT0262164". The record is from RNAcentral. Lineage: Eukaryota; Metazoa; Chordata; Mammalia; Primates; Hominidae.
CCUUGUACUCUUUAUUGCCUCUGAUCACUCCUUUCCCUUCCUCCAGCAGCUCCCGAAACAGGUCCACAGGGCCAGAACCUGGGGCUCCCGCCUCUGCUGCUUCAAGCUCAGGCAGUGAGUUCUGAUGUCUGGCUUUCUUCCGUAGGAAUUCUGUACGGGCCUGGGGAGAAAGUUAUAGGCAGGACAUUCAGAACCUAGAGGUAAUUCAAGAACUGUGAGUCUGGUGCCCACCACAGAAAAUGGCAGUCCAGGGUGCUGGGGUUAUGAGAAAGGGAGCACUAGGCGCCUAAAAGAGGCACCUGUCCUAGCUGGGGGUGAGGGUAGGCAGAUGAGGCAACGCCUGGGUUUUGUAAACUCCCUUUCAAAUAGUAAACCACGGGUCAUCAAGGAUGUAUGGGAGGAGGUCCCUGGCCUAAACCAAAGGGGUUCCUAACCUCAAGUGAGACAAUUAAAACAGCCAUAAAGGUAUGCAUUAGGCCAGACGAUCUGAAUUCUAGCCAUGGCUCCAAGUGACUACCCCAAGUCUGCUGAAGCCCUGUCCCCUGCCUUCAGGACGCGGAUUUCAAACAGCGCUCAGCAGCCUACUGAGAUUCUAAAAACCUAGACUACCUCCCACCCACGGCGGAGGAUCAGACUAGCUAAGGAAAUGAAAGUUGGGUGUACACCAAACAGAUUUAAAGAGCCAUACGGAAAGCCCGUGUUUGUGUGUAUGUGUCUAGGGGGCGGUGCACGAAAGGGCUCGCCCGAUGGCGUGGAGCCUGGCUGUCCGCCUCUCCUUAAAAUGUGCCUUCCCCUCACUGAAGCCAUCUCACUUCGUGCAACAGAGAUGACAGUGCCCCUCUAAGAACGAACAGUGCUUAUUGGGGAUUCCGCAAGUCAGGUGCACGGCAUGUAGUUAGCAUACAGUAGAUGCUCAAUAAAUAGGCUGUGCAGGCAAACUAAAAAGUGAUCCGAAUUUCCUUGAACUGUCCAAGGGUUCACGGAUUCAUUAAAUGUUAAGCUUCUCUUUUGUGCUAGACACUGUUCCAGCCAUGUGAAAUACAUCAGUGGGGGAAAAACUAAGACGAGGGCGAGAUCAAGGAAGGUUUCGUGGAAGUGGGCACAAGGUUUGCGGGGCAACGUCCUCGAAAGUGGGAUCGGCGCCUGGUCCCGAAUUUCACACGGGGCACAUUGAGCCUGCGCAACGCCUCCGCUUCCGGCCCCCAACCGCGGCGCCUGCGCGCUGGGCCCCGGAGCGCCGCC